Molecule: long non-coding RNA, 11446 nt
Organism: Hippopotamus amphibius kiboko
Lineage: Eukaryota; Metazoa; Chordata; Mammalia; Artiodactyla; Hippopotamidae
Exons: 4
Source: RefSeq, a predicted model, not a curated record
CAGGCCGGCGCCAUGCGGUCUCGGAAGAGGAUUCGCCUUUUCCGGUUCAGGGUGUCACAGCGCCCAGCCCGCCUUGCCUCGUUUUUUCCUGUCUCAGUCCGGCGUGGCAGAGUAGACAGGCCGCCUUAGCCCUUUCAAGCCCUCUCGGUCAUGGCGGCGCCCAGCCUUUUUUUCUGGCCGCAACCUGUCACGGCGUUGGCCUGAGUAGCCACUUCCGGACCCAGCCUCUACGUGGCCCUGGUUGUUGUGAUUCUGCUCAGCUAAGGCCCCACCCAAGGCUCACCGGAAGUAAAACCUCGGAAGUGAGGCGGUGCCUCUGCGGAAACGAGAGCGGCGCAGGUUAAAAAGGGGGAGGUGUGGCCUGGGGCGCGGGUCUUCGGACUGUCUUGAGGGGCUCGGGCUUGCUGGGCCUGACCCACCCUGUCGAGCAGCCCAAGCCCAGGCAGCCGCCGCGCACCCUCCUUGCCGCUGGACCUGCGCUCACAGUGAGUGGCCACGAGCUGGCCGCCGCCAUGUGGCCGAACGGUGCUGCCAUUCCAGGGGCUGCUCUACCCGGCCUGGCUGGGCGUGGGGCUGGCAGUUGGACGUAGGUCCCCGAGGCUGCGUUGCUCAUGCUGACCGCCAUCUGCCUCGCACCCUCACUCACCGUCCUCUCGGGGCAUGGGUCCGAGCACGCGCAGUGCGCGCUCACCUGCCCUCUGGGCAAAGAUGGACGGGAGGUUCUGCCCUUCGAAUUCCAGAAGAUCAGAUAUUCCUACGAUGCCGUGGAGAAGAAGCACUUCCUCCUUGAGGCUUUUCCCUUGGGAAAUGCUUUCUCAUACUACCAGAGCAAAAGAGGAGUUCAGGAGGACUCAGAGAUCUGCAAAGCUGAGUAGUUUGAGAGCAGCAAGUGAGUCCUGACAUCCCUAUCAGUUGCCUCCUGCUGACAGUGGCUCCUUUCCCAUUUGUGUUCUGUCACACUCCUGAGUCGGGAUGCCUGGGAGGUGAUUUGGAGAAAUCCACCUUUCUAACAGAACAUCUCAGGGCUAUUUGGCAUUUUCUAGACUUGUAAUUUCACCCAGAUACUAGAAAUAAGCAGCUAGUACAGACCUGGUAUACAAAGAAGCAAGAUAUAAUCUACAAAAUAAAUUUGCGUUCUGCAGCCUGACCUUCAGCACUAAAAGGCUUUGAAACUACUUAUGAAUUACAUCCAGAUGAGACAAGGAUACAACAAGAAAAAACAUCUAAAGGAUGUUUUGCAAAUGUUUUCAUUUCAGGAGUAGAUGUUUUCAGAUACAUGUGUUCAGUUUUGGGGCAAUACACUUGGUUCUAAGCUUUCUGGGUGCUAGAGUAAAAAGAGAAGCAUACUGACUCUCUUAAAAAGGAAAACAUAUUAUACUAAGGCAAAACUUUUCUUGCAGCUCAAUCCACAUAGGAAUUUAUUAUAAUAGUCUUUAUUGUAGUGUGUUGGUAUCUUAACAAUAGCUUUAUAAAAUAUAAAGGAUUAUUUAAACAGAACAUUUUCCAUAUCAACUCUGUGAAGACAGAGAGACAUAUAUUUCAUCCUAAAUCAAUGAAGAUCUUUCUUGAAGGACCAUGUAUUUAGUUUGCUAGGGCUGUCAUAACAAAGCACCACAAACUAGGCUGCUCAAACAGAAAUUUAUUGUCAGAAGUCUGAUAUCAAGGAUAUUGGCAGAAUUGGUUGCUUAUGAAGGCUGUGAGGGAUAAUCUUCAUGUGUCUCUCCUAGCUUCUUGUGGUUUGCAGGAAAUCUGACAUUUCUUGACUUGUAGGUAUAUCACCUCCAUCUGUCUUCAUGUUCAUGUGGUAUUAGCCUUGUGUGCAUGUCUCUGUGUCCAAAUUUCUCCUUUUUACAAGGACACGAGUUCAUGUUGGAUUAGAAGCCUUACUACACUAUGACCUCAUUUUAUCUUAAUUAAUUACAUGUGCAAUGACUCUGUUUCCAAAUAAGGUCACAUUCUGAGGCUACUGAAGGUUAGAUUUUCAACAUAAAUAUUUGUAGGGGACAUAGUUCAACCCAUAAUAGACACAAGAUGAUGUGGGAUAAAUAUUUUAGUUGCAAAUGAGCUGUCCCAACACAGAUUCAGGCCUGGGACGUUUCAGUGAAUAGACUAGCAUUGUCCAGUGUCAUAAGCAAACUUUAUGAAGUCCAUGGACAUAUUUAAUUCCCGACCAAGCUCUCUAUCGUCUACUUGUGUGCAGAGUCUUUGCUAUUGAAAACCUAAUGAAUGAAAGUCUAGGAGAGACACUCUGAAGUCUUUUUCCAGUAGUGAUGAUUCAGUGGAUACACAUGCUGUUUUCCUUGAAGCUGUAACCCAACCCCCAAGAUUGUUUGCAGGCUUCUCUAACCUACAGAAUUUACCAGAUGUCCUAAAAAUGUAUGUUACUAGGGCACUUGAAAGAGUAGGACUGCACCUAGGUACAGUUACCACCACUAUCAGGAAAGUAUUUUAUGACCUCCUGACAUUUUCUUCAUAAGAAGACAGGAUUAUUAGUGUGGGAGAAGAAAGAUAAUCCACUCUCUCCAGGAAUUCUAGGAGGGCCACAUAUUUCUGAAAAAGUGAGAAGUUUUUAAAAAAUGAUGUCUGACUUCUAGGUCAUCUCUAAAGGUAGAAGACAAGGUAACCAGGAAAUAAUAAAUAAUCAGGUAAUGGGUAAGUACAUAAAACAGAAAAAAAAAAAAGAAAGAAAGAAAGUCCUCAUGAAGUACUCAGUGUCCUGGAAAGCACUAUAGUGCAGUGAUUUAAAGCAGGGUUGUUGCCUGUUUCUGACAUUGUUAUUUUCACACUGCUACCACUAUUGUAAUCAUAACAACCCUCAUAUCAACAUAAUGUUCUAAUUUUCUUCUUAAGAAGAAGAAAGCAUAUUCUUUUGAAGAAUAUGUUCAGAGGAAGCCAGAUAUUCCCUGUGCUCCUCUGUAGCUUUAUGUCUAGUUAAACCUUCAGGUUUUAAAUUUAAGUAGACCUGGACUGAAUCCUGUCCCUACCAUUUACAACUAGUUACCUUUACAGCUUCAGGUUUCUUAGCUGAAAAAUGGGUGUAAAUAUCCAUUUUCUAUCCUGUUAGAUUUUUAGCACAGUUCCUGCACAUAGCAAAUGCCUGUAUUAUUCAGGAAUUAUUAUUUUGAGCAUCUUCCUCUUUUCUAAAAUAAAGAAAAAUUCUAAUUGAUACAGAGGAUGCUUGCCAUAUUUUACUGGUGGAGAAUAUAGGGGAAAUGUCUUCACAUCAAAAUAAAUAUUUGAUUGAAACUUUUUUAGUGUAUAACUAAUAUCACUCAUACUCUAGCAUCCUGAGCAUUCUUGUUAAACAUUUAUUAGCAGGCAAAAAGUUAUGCUAAGAAACUAGACCUUUAGAGAAUUCUCUGUUGGUAACAAGGGAAUAUGCUGUUCUGACUCAUUAUGGUAAUAUCUUACUCUUUAACCAAGUACACAGUAAACUCAUAGAAAUAAGUGAAAAAAUUAUUAAAUAUAUGCUAGAAUAUUAUAUGGAAAGACUUGUGAAUGUUUUAUAUAUUUCUACAUAAGUUUUUUACACUGACAGUAUUUUCCUUGAGGUUCUAGCGAUACAAUGCCAUGACAAUGUAUCUCCGUUUUAUAAGAAAUUCAAAUGUAUGCAUGAAACAAGGGUUUCUUUGGUUAGAACACUGUGCAUAGGCUUUUUUAUUUAAAAGAAAAUGUUUUAAUGUGAUAUUCCUUGUUUUUACUACAGUCACUGAUUUAGAGAGAAGUUUUUCAUCUAGCCAUAAUUUAGAUUGACAUUUUGAUCUGUUAAACCCUGGCAUGUAAUCUGAAGAAAGAGAUGAGCCCAGUGUAUGAUAUAUUGACUUUUCCUUGUUUAAGUAGAACUUUGAGAGUUUCAUAGAAAUGUACUUUUUUUUACUUCAUUUUGAUUACUAAUUUUUAGGUCAUAUGUUAUGUAAAUUUGGACAACUCAUUUAAUCUCAUUAAACCUCAGUGUCUUCAUUGAAAAAGUAAGGAUAACACUAGAGCCUUGUUUUCUAUCUCUUAGGAUUUUCUGAGGAUUAAAUGAUAUAUAAAAGAACAAUGUAAACUACAAAGCUCUGUAAAAUCUUAAUGGUUACUACUGCUACAAGAAAUAUUUGUUAGAUUCACUUAUAAAAGAACUUGAUGUUUUUUACCUUUCAGUGUAAUCCUAUUUAUAAAACAUGCUUAUUGAUUCAAGUUGGUGAUCAAUUUUUUAAAAUUUCACCUUAAUAAAGUGCUGAAUCAUUGUGCAACCAUUUCAGACCAGUGCCUGUUAACAAUCAUUCACAGGUUUUCUUUAGAACUUUAAAUUGAGUGCCACUGUCUAUUUGGGAAUGCAAUGCUAACAUCUUAAUUUAUUUUCAAUUAGUAGUUAAUUUCCUUUAGAAUGUAUAUUAGCACAAUACCUAGUCCUGAGAGUUUUCAGACUUUCAGAAACACAUACUAGGCUGCCAAAACUUCAGCAUCCUCCUGUGGCAGCUCAGCUCACUGAACAUUUUCUCCUCAACAUCCUACAGGAUAGAGGACUAAAAUCAUCUGCUUAGAAAUAGUUAUGUUAGAUAAGAUAGUCCCCCCAAAGUCACUAUAAAUAAUGAUAGAUUUCCUAUAUGACAACUGUAUCCAAGUAAUGAGUUAUUAAAAAACAAAGACCAAAAAACAACUCACCAACAACCCUGAUUAUAAAAUAUCUAGGAAUAAACUCACACUUUUUCAAGUAACAUUGUAGAAGUCUUGUAUUAAUAGGAAUACAUGAUAUAUUACUGAGUCAGAAUACUCAGUGUCAAGUGAUACUUAGCUGGAGGGUAAAUACUUCAGCACAGUCAAGAAAUUUUUUUAAAAAGGAGCUUCCUACUGGAUAUAAGAAUGUAGUAUGGUGCUAUAGACGUUUAAAAAUCUGGUACUGGUACUAGAAUAGAUAAAUAAAUUAGUAGCACAGAAUAGAGAGACCAAAAAUAAACUCAUAUGUAUUAGAAAUCAUAUGUAACAAAGGUGACACUUCAAAAUAGUCAGUCCAGUUGUCCAAAUAAAUGAUAUUUAUUUGAGGGAAACCAGGUAGAUCCCUACCCCAACCAUUUAGAAAAAUAAAUUUCAUAUGGAUUAAAUAUCUAAAUUCAAUAUAGUAGUAUUUAAUAUGUAUAUAGACAUAUAUACAUAUAAUAUAUAUAUUACUAUACAAGAAAAUGUGGGUGAAUACUUUAAUCUUGAAGAGAAAAUGGCAUUUCCAAGUAUCACCUAGAACUCAGAAGCCACGUAGGAAAUAUUUCGUGAUUUGCUGAUCUGAUUAUAUAAAAAAUUAAAGUUUCCAUAUAGUGAAAGACAAAAAGUCCAGAAGUAAACUGUAUGAACUAUAGCCAAGAGCAGACAGGGUGGGAGAAAAUACUAAGCUUCUACAAAUCAGUAACCAAGGCAAACAACCUGAGUAGACAAAUGAGCAAAAGCUAUGAGCAAGCAAUUUAUUGAAGACUACAAAUGACCAGUUAGUGUAGAGCAAGGUGUUCAACCUUGCCAGUAAAAAAUAAUCAAAUACAAUAUUUCUUAUCAGGCUGAGAAAAGUGUCUAAGAUUCUAUCUGGUAUUUACAAGAGAUGAGAAGUUUAGCACUUUCUAACACUCUAGGUAUCUUUUUGGAGUGCUAUUUGGAAAUAUCUGUUAGAAUCUCAAAUGCACAUGCCAUUUCACUCACCCAGCAACAUCACAUCCCAGAAUCCAUGUUAGCACAAGAGAAGAAUGAUACAUCUGUAAGGUUAUCCAUCUAUUACCAGUUGUAAUUUUUAAAAAGGGAAAUAAUAUAAAUUUCCCUUAAGUGAGACAAAUAGAUAAUAUAGUUAUGUAAUUCCAACAAUGAAAACCUCAGCCUAUAGAAGAAGAUGGAAAAGAUGAAGUAGAAGAGCAUCUCCAUAGGCUGGCAUAUAAAAUGUCCUCAAUCUAUUGUUAAUUUCCAAAAAAAAAAACAAUUUAGAGACUAAUAGACAUAAUCAUCAUAUAAUACAUCAAAUUGUUAGCAGUGCAUGUCUCUAUGAAAUGAGGCUAGAGCAUGAAGACUCACUUUUUUUCAUAUCAGAGACUACAAACUGGUGACCUGUCACCUAGAUUCAGCCAGCAGAUGUAUUUUUUUAUAGAGAGAGAAUGUUUUAAAAAUCAAAAGAAUUCAUGAGAAAACCCCAACUUCCAGCUCUCUUAAAAUAAGAUUUGGAAACCCAGCACCUGUAUUCCUGUCUGGCACCAACUGGCUUUAGGUGGAUAAACACUGCCCUCUUUAAAAGGUAUGUGCCCUCUCUGUGUCAAACUUGACUCAUGAUGUUACCUGCCAGGUUUCGUGGGGCAUUGGAAUUUGCUUCCGUUAUUUCAUAUGCUCUUAUAUUCUGUAGAUUUGUUACAAGUAUUAUUACUCUUAUAGAUAAAAUGUAAGGAUUAAAAUUUAUAGUGGUAUACCCUGUGAAACUUGUAAUAAAUUACAAAAGAAUUUCAGUGAUGAUAUGUAUAUAUGUCAAUAGUAUUAUAGUGCACUUCAAUUUCUAGUAGUUAUAAAUCCAGCAUUUUUAAUUAGCUGCAACAAAAUUGAGACUAGCUUACCCAGAAAUAUCCUGAAUGUUGGAAUCAGAUAUUAAAAAUAAAACAUCUGAAUCCAUAUUUAUAGAACACCUACUAUGUGCAAAGAAAAAUGAUAGAUGCUGCAUAACAUACAAAAAAGGAAUGUGAUAUCACUUCUUUUCUUUCUAAGUCAUCCAUUGGGUCUUCAAUAGCUAACUGGUUGCCAUACAUUGAUGCUAUUUUUUCAUAGUAUUCAUCACAUGGCUUAUUUUAUAAUCCCGUAUAGCACUCGGUUAUUUUACAAUACUGUUUUUAAGAGAGCUUUACUACUGUUUCAGUAAUCUUUUAACUAUUUUUCCAUCCUUCUGACUAACCCAUUCUGCAUUUCAGUAUCAAAUUAAUCUCUAAAACAUUGCUCCAAUCCUGUCAUUUCCUUUUUAUUACAUAUUAAUUCAGUUCUAUAAUUUGGAAAAUCAAAGCAUGCCACAAGUUGACCCCAAAAUGUCUACACUUGCGGUUUUUCAUGUACUCUAUUUUUCAGCUGAAACUGGGCUGCUGAUUGUUUUCUAAACAUAUAAUUUCAGAUCUUCCAUUUGCUCGACUGUUUCUUCUGCCUGGAAUGUCAACUCUUCCGUUUUAAUUGUGGUUCGAAACCUUAGCCAGCCUUCACGUCUUCGCUCAGAUGCCAUCUCUACCAGCAGAUGCCAUCUCUGCCAUGAAGCCUUCUACCAGUCCAGUCAGAUAUGUCUUCCUCUGAACUUCUAUUGUGGUUUGCCUGGACUCCUAAUACAGCACACAAUCAGCUGAUUGGCAUCACAGUAAUUAAGGCAUGUGUCUCUUCUCUCUUUCUAAAUAUAAGUUCCUAAAGAGCAAGGAUCGUUGUCUGCAAGCACAGAACUUUGCAUACUAUUAAAAGUUUAAAACUUUCACUUGAAAAGUCAUGAGACAUACAAACUGAUGUUAGGCAGAAACGAGGAAGCAGAACUGUGAUAAGGAAGAUAAAGCAGACUGUUAGAGGUAACUUAUGGGAACUUCGGCUGCAUUAGGGUGCUUGUGUGGGUGAUGAGAGAAGUACAGUAUUGCCUGAGUAUGAAACACAUGCUCCUGGUACUUCCUUGACAGGAUGACAAUAAUGGAACCUCUUCUCAGUAAUAAUAGGGUGCCAAGCUGACGUCAACUGAGGAUUUGGAGCAAGCUGGUUUGGUACAGCCUGUGUUGAGUACCUUUAAAAUUAUAGAGUGAAGAAUUGCUUAAGAGCCAGUGUUCUUAGGAAAGCCAGGUAAAGCUUAUAGGACAGAGUGUCAGGCUGGCUGUUGAAAGACUUCUGAUAACUUUGUCAUUUGAAGAGCUGUUGGUGGUUUGGAAAUAAAUCAUCUUAAAGUAAUCAGCUUUGACUGCCAUGAAUCCUCAAGAAGAAGUGACACAAAGCUUUGAUAAACCUUAAUAGUUGUAGAUAUGAUAGAUGGCAUGAUUUUUCAGGCUGUCAGAUUUAUCAGGUAGCUAAAGUUCUAAUAUGAAACUAGUUCAAACCCACCUUCAGUGACCACAAACCAUUCAGUUUAUUUCAGCCAUGACUAGAUUUCCAUAAUAAGCCAGUACAUAUAGCACGUGGCAAACAGUGGAUACCUGAUUACCAAAGCUAAGGAGGGUAUUAUAAAAGCAAAAAAGAGUUCAAAUAGGCUUUGUUGGAAACAUUUGGAGUAUGAAUGGUUUGGCAUAAGGAUGAACAGGCUGAAAGGUGGCCAGGAAUCAUUUCAUUCAUUAUUUUUUUCCCAGCUGGGGAGAUCCUGUAUCUUGAGAUUAAUGCACAUGGGAAUAGAAGCCUAGCUUUGGACUUCUGACAUAAGUCGGAGCAAUUAGAACACAUGCCUCCAAAAAUCCGCAGAUGGGCCGGGACUCUUGAGAGUUUCCGUCAUGCCCUAACAGUGUCCCUACACUGAGCUGGAGCUAGACAAAUCCAGAACUAGGAUUAAACAGGGAAGUUCCAAAAAUCUUUGAACAGGAUGGAAAUUUAAUCUUUGCUCCUACCAGCAGGAUUUUAUUUGGUAGGUCAGGUAGCAUCUGGGAGAUCAUUAAGAAAUACCUGCAUUGAAAAAAGGGAACCCUUGUGCACUCGUGGUAGGAAUGUAAAUUGGUGUAGCCACUAUGAAAGCCAGUAUGGAAGGUCCUCAAAAAAUUAAAAAUAAAACUACCAGAUGAUCCAGGAAUUACACUCCUGGGUAUUUAUCCAAAGAAAACAAAAACUAGUUUAAAAAGAUAUAUGCACCUCUGUGUUCAUUGCAGCAUUAUUUACAAUAGCCAAAAUAUGGAAGCAGCCUAAGUGCCCAUCCAUAGAUGAAUGGAUAAAGAAGAUGUGGGGUGGGGUGGGGUGGGUGUGUGUGUGUGUGUGUGUGUGUGUAUGUGUGUAUUUUCAUGACCAGUCACCCAGUCAUGAAAACAGAAUGAAAUCUUGUCAUGUGCAACAACAUGGCAGUGUGGAUGAACCUGUGGGAUAUUAUGCUAACUGAAAUAAGUCAGAUAGAGAAAGACAAAUACCAUAUGAUUUCACUUACUGUGGAAUCUAGAAAACAAACCAAAUGAACAAACAUAACAAAACAGAAAUAGACUCAUAGAUACAGAGAACAAACAGGUGGUUGCCAGAGAGGAGGGGAGUGGGGAGGGGAAAGAAAUAGUUGAGGAAGAUUAAGCGGUAUAAACUUCCAGUUACAAAAUAAAUGAGUCAUGGGGAUGAAAUGUACAACAUGGAGAAUAUAGUCUAUAAUAAUGUAAUGUCUUUGUAUGUUAACAGAUGACUAGACUUGCUGUGGUGAUCAUUUUUGUAAUGUAUAGAAAUAUUGAAUUGCCAUGUUGUGCACCAGGAAUUAACAUAGUGUUGUAGGUCAAUUAUACUUCAAAACAAACAAACAAACUUGGGCAUUCCCUGGUUGUGCAGUGGUUAGGACCCGGUGCUUUCACUGCUAGGGACCUGGGUUCAAUCCCUGGUUGGGGAACUAAGAUCCCACAAGCUGCUCAGUGCUGCCAAUAAUUAAUAAUAAUAAUAAUAAUAAUCAAACUCAUGGAAUAAGAGAUCAGAUUUGUGGUUACCAGAGUUGGGGGGAGGGAGAACUGAAUGGAGGUGGUCAAAAGUUACAAACUUCCAAUUAUAAGAUAAAGUACUAGGGAUAUAAUGUUCAACAUGACUGAUUAACACUGCUAUAUGUAAUACAUGAAAGUUGUUGAGAAUAAAUCCUAAGAGUUCUCAUCUCUAGGAAAAAAAUUUUUUUCUUUUAUUUUGUGUCUAUAUGAGAUAACUGGUGUUCACUAAACUUACUGUGGUAAUCAUGACGUAUAUAAGUCAAAUUAUUAUGCUGUGCACUUUAAACAGUGCUGUAUGUUAAUUAUAUCUCAAUAAAACUGGAAGAAAAAAAAAAACACUUGGAGCUGAUCAGUGCAGAUAACAAGUUGUACAGUUGUCCCUCUGUGUACAUGGGGGAUUGUUUCCAAGACCCACAAUACCAAAAUCCAAGGAUGCUCAAGUCCCUUUUGUAUAAUGGCAUAGCAUCUGCGUAUAACUUCUGCACAGCCUGCCAUGUACUUUGAAUUAUCUCUAGAUUACUUAUAAUACCUAAUACUAAUACUAAUAUGUAAAUACUAUGUGAAUAAUUGUAAAUAUAGUGUAAAUGCUGCAUAAAUAGUUGCUGGCACACAGCAAACUCAAGUUUUGCUUUUUGAAACUUUCUGGAAUUUUCCUUUUUCUUGAAUGUUUUCAGUCCGUGGUUGGUUGAAUCCAGGAAGGCAGAACCUCGGUAUUCAGAGGGGUGACUAUAGUUCAGAGCAAUGGAUUGCAAAUCAGAUAACAGCCAUCAAAAAGAAGCAGAAAAGUCAGAUGUGCUCAGGGCAGUUUUUUUCUUCUCUUCUUCCUCUUUUUUAUUUUCUCUCUCUCACUCUCUCACUCUUUCUCUCCCCCAAAGUGCUCCUUAAUGAGACAUAAUAGCUUUUGCCCAAUAGUUCCUUAAAAAGGGUUCACUGGAUACUUGACUAGAAUUUCAAGACCAUCAGUCUGUCUACUAUAGAUGUGAACAUCUUCUCAUAUCUCAGUAGCCCCUAAUAAAAUCAUUGCACAAUUAAUACUGAUAGAGACUUUGAAUCACUAAGCUUAAAUCAUGUUUGCUUUUACUAAAAAUAGGUAUUACUAGUUAUAUUCAAAGGCAUGAGUAUAUUUUUCACAUUAUAUUUGAUUGUACUUACAUAAUUUCAUUUUUGGUAGCUAACAUAUGCACAUGGUUCGAAAUCAGCAUUCCUGUCCCAGUGACAUAAUCUCCUUCCCAGAGACAGUCAGUGAUACCAGUUUCUUGUAUAUGCUUCCAGAAAUUGUUUAUGUACACACAGUUACAUAUAUUGGCAUCUCACACACCUGUGUGUUAAUGUUAAUGCCUGCACAUUAAUGGUAAUAUGUUAUUAACAUUAAUAAUACAGUCCUGAAAAUCAGCAAGAGAAUGUUAAGCAGGUGCCUAUUUUUAUCAUUCUAAUGCAUCUUAUAAUGUGUCAUGUCAACCCCCAGACCCUCAAUUUCCUAAAUCAUGUAUAAACCACAGUCAAAUGUUUACAUAUGUAACAUACUAUCAUAUUAGUAUAAAAAUGGCUUAAAACAUCACUUACUAAUCACCAGUAAUAGACAUUAACAAACCUUUGCUUUGUAUGCAUGAAUAGGGCAUCUUCAGGCACUGACUUCAGAGGAGCAGAUGACUUUUGUUGACAUUAUGAGCAUCCCAAAACGUGUAAUUUCAUUCUUAACCUACCCAAGCAUUGUUUUGUUAAAAUUGUACUGAGUUUGGGUGAUGUAAAUAUGUUAUUAUUCUCUAUUAAAAAGAAGUGUUGAAUUGAGAUGUGUCUAUAAGAUUUCUGUAUUGAUAACCAGGAAAUAUACUAUCAAAAAAAAUAAAAACAAAACAACA